Felis catus (domestic cat) is the source of this 85-nucleotide transfer RNA. It matches the Rfam family "tRNA". From Rfam's summary of the family: Transfer RNA (tRNA) molecules are approximately 80 nucleotides in length. Their secondary structure includes four short double-helical elements and three loops (D, anti-codon, and T loops). Lineage: Eukaryota; Metazoa; Chordata; Mammalia; Carnivora; Felidae. The record is from Rfam.
GCCUGGGUGGCUGAGUCUGUUAAGCAUCUGACUUCGGCUCAGGUCAUGAUCUCGCGGUUUGUGGGUUCGAGCCCCGCGUCGGGCU